GAACAUGAUCCAAUCGAACCCCUAACUAUGGUGAACAAUUACAACACUACGUUUACCCUGCCCGGAAUAGGGUUACUGGGACUCUUCCCUGGAGCCAGGCCUGGGGGUGGUGUCCGCAGGUGAGCGCUUGGUGGCCGGGCAGCCCAUGUAUCUCGGCCAGGCCCAGCCCAAAAAGACUACAUGGGAAAACCGUGUGGGCCCACCACCCGCAAGGUUCAGGGUAGGGGUCGGGUGCAAUGCUCGUCGGGCAGGGGGCAAGAACAGGGUAGAUCCGUGCACCAUCUGCCCAGACAACGGAAACUGAUUUUUGGCACGUGGAACAUUACCUCUCUGCUGGGGGAAGGAGCCGGAGCUGGUGUGUGAGGUUGAAGUACCAACUAGAUAUUGUUGGACUCUCCUCUACACACACUAUUGUCUCUGGAACCAAACUCCUGGAUAGGGGUAGUCUCUCCUACUUGGGAGUUGUUCAGGGUGAGAGGAGCUGGGCAGGAGUGGGGAUACUCAAGUCCCCGUCUGACCACUCUGUUGGCGUAUUCUGCAGUGGACGAGAGGGUCGCCUCGAUGCGACUGUGUGGCAGAGAGGAAAACUGACUUAUUUGCGCUUAUGCGCCUAAUGGCAGUUAAGAGUAUUCUGCCUUCUUGGAAAAGGUGGGAGGGGUGCUGGAAAAGGCCACACCUACUGACUCCAUUGUCCUACUCUUAGGAGACUUCAAUGCUCACGUUGGCGAUGACUGGGAAACUUGGAGGGGCGUGAUGGGGAGGAACGGGUUCUCUGAUCAGAACCCGAGCGGUGUUAUGUUAUUGGACUUCUGUGCUAGUCAUGGUUUGUCCAUAAUGAACACCAUGUUCGAACCCAAGGAUGUUCAUAAGUGUACAUGGUACCAGAACACCUUGAGCCAAAGGUCGAUGAUUGACUUUGUUUCAUCAGCCCUACAAACAUUUGUUUUGGACACUUGGGUGAAGAGAGGAGAAGAGAGGUCAACUGUUCACCAUCUGGUGGUGAGUUGGAUCAGAUGGCGGUGGAAGCUUCCAGGCAGACCAGGUAUGCCUAAACGUGUAGUGAGUCUGCUGGGAACGCCUGGCAGAAGACUCAGUCCGGAAUGAUUUCAACUCUAACCUCCAAGAGCUUUUCCCGUUUCUCGGAGGAGGUUGGGGACAUGGAGUCUGAAUGGACCUUGUUCAAAACCUCUAUUGUCGAAGCUGCUGCUAGAGGUUGUGGUCAAAAGCUGGUUGGUGCAUGUCCUGGCGGCAACCCAAGGACCCACUGGUGGACUCCAGUGGUGAGGGAGGCUGUUAAGCUGAAGAAAAAUGCAUUCCAGGCCUGGUUGGCUCUGGGAACCUCCGAUUCAGCAGACAGGUACCGGCAGGCGAAAAAGGCCACAGCUGCGGCAGUGGCAGAAGCAAAAGCCAGGGCAUGGGCGCCUCCCUUUUAGAGGUGUUCUGAGCUCGGCCACCAGGGAGGAGACCCAGGGGUAGACCAAGGACACGCUGGAGGGAUUAUAUCCAAAGGCUGGCCUGGGGAUUCACCGGGAUGAGUUGGCGGAAGUUGCUGGGGAGAGGGACGUCUGGGCUGCUCUGCUUGCCCCUUUGCCCUUCGCGACCCUGACCUGGAUUAAGCGGUUUAGAGAAUGGAUGGAUGGGUAUGUAAAUGCAAUUUUAUUAGGAGGUGAGGGCACUUUCCACAUUGUUUAUGCCCCCCCUCUACUAGUUUGAUUUUACUGCAGGAAUGGAAAAACUCCUGGAUCACCAGGAUCACAUCAUUAUUUCAGAAAUGGUCUGUAAAUGUCAGUCUACCAAACAUCAAAUGGAGCAAAGACAACAUCGUCUGGCAAUGACAAAGGUGUCUGAGACCGGGGAUCCCCUACGAUGGAGAGAGAGAGCCGGAGCCCGCACGAUGUAUGCAGCUGAAAAGCGACCCGUACAAUUUCAUUUAUUUUGUCUUGUUUUAGUUUGUUUUUUCCCAGAUCCUGUGAGGAUGAUGGGCAAAGGUUUUUCAUUUGUAUUUUGCGGAUUGCUCUCUCUCUCUCGCUCUCAAUAAAACGCCGGAGAUAUCCGGA
Long non-coding RNA from Anguilla rostrata (American eel), 2057 nucleotides. RefSeq lists it as uncharacterized. NCBI's taxonomy places the organism in Eukaryota, Metazoa, Chordata, Actinopteri, Anguilliformes, Anguillidae. The record is from RefSeq and is a predicted model, not a curated record. The transcript has 3 exons.